This 461-nucleotide ribosomal RNA is filed under the name uncultured bacterium. RNAcentral describes it as "partial 16S ribosomal RNA". It matches the Rfam family "Bacterial small subunit ribosomal RNA", at positions 338 to 795 of the family's 1533-position model. The record is from RNAcentral.
CCUACGGGUGGCAGCAGUGAGGAAUAUUGGUCAAUGGGCGCGAGCCUGAACCAGCCAAGUCGCGUGAGGGAGGACGGCCCUACGGGUUGUAAACCUCUUUUGCCGGGGAGCAACGGGCGUCACGUGUGGCGCCACUGAGAGUACCCGGAGAAAAAGCAUCGGCUAACUCCGUGCCAGCAGCCGCGGUAAUACGGAGGAUGCGAGCGUUAUCCGGAUUUAUUGGGUUUAAAGGGAGCGUAGGCGGGUUGUUAAGUCAGUUGUGAAAGUUUGCGGCUCAACCGUAAAAUUGCAGUUGAUACUGGCAUCCUUGAGUACAGUAGAGGUAGGCGGAAUUCGUGGUGUAGCGGUGAAAUGCUUAGAUAUCACGAAGAACUCCGAUUGCGAAGGCAGCCUGCUGGACUGUAACUGACGCUGAUGCUCGAAAGUGUGGGUAUCAAACAGGAUUAGAUACCCUAGUAGUC